RNAcentral lists this ribosomal RNA (489 nucleotides) under Candidatus Mycoplasma haematominutum. RNAcentral describes it as "bacterial SSU rRNA". It matches the Rfam family "Bacterial small subunit ribosomal RNA", at positions 414 to 900 of the family's 1533-position model. Lineage: Bacteria; Bacillati; Mycoplasmatota; Mollicutes; Mycoplasmatales; Mycoplasmataceae. The record is from RNAcentral.
GUCUUCUGACUGUAAAGUUCUUUUAUUUACGAAAAAAAGCUUGAUAGGAAAUGAUUAAGCCUUGAUUGUACUAAAUGAAUAAGUGACAGCUAACUAUGUGCCAGCAGCUGCGGUAAAACAUAGGUCACGAGCAUUAUCCGGAUUUAUUGGGCGUAAAGGAAGCGUAUGCGGACAAAUUGAUCUAUUGUUAAAGGCACUUGCUCAACGAGUUGUUUGUGAUAGAUAUCGUUUGUCUAGAAUUAGUUAGGAGAUACUGGAAUUCAAUGUGUAGCGGUGGAAUGCGUAGAUAUAUUGAGGAACACCAGAGGCUAAGGCGAGUAUCUAGGACAUAAUUGACGCUGAGGCUUGAAAGCGUGGGGAGCAAAUGGGAUUAGAUACCCCAGUAGUCCACGCCGUAAACGAUGGGUAUUAGGUAUUUGGUCUAGGACUGAGUGCUGUAGCUAACGCGUUAAAUACCCCGCCUGGGUAGUAUAUAUGCAAAUAUGAAAC